Molecule: long non-coding RNA, 2830 nt
Filed under: Homo sapiens (human)
Lineage: Eukaryota; Metazoa; Chordata; Mammalia; Primates; Hominidae
Description: non-protein coding lnc-CHPT1-7:1
Source: RNAcentral
GUAUGAAUUAAUUUGUCAGCUUUUCUAGGGUUAUAUAAUAUAAGGCCUUGAGAAAUGAAACCCUUAAGCUGGCAAGUUUAGAAAAAUGGGUGAAAUGUUUGGAUUGCCACUUCAAAACGGCAGGUCCUGGUUGAAGUCUGGGCAUCUAAGAAUUGUGGGGGUGGGAGCAGGUGAUAGGAAUCAGGAGUAGAAACAGUAAGAGAGGGUUUGUAUGAUACACCUGGUCUUUGGUGGGAAUGGGGAUCAGUUCUUGUAUGAGUCAGUUCUCACGCUGCUAAUAAAGACGUACCAGAGACUGGGUAAUUUAUAAAGAAAAGAGCUUUAAUUGGCUUACAGUUUCACAUGGCUAGGGAGGCCUCAGGAAACUUAUAAUCACGGCGAAAGGGGAAGCAAACACAUCCUUCUUCACAUGGUGGCAGGAGAGAGAAUGAGAGCCGAGCAAAGGGGGGGAUGCCCCUUAUAAAACCCCCACAUCUCGUGUGAACUCAGUAUCACAAGAACAGUAUGGGGGAAACCGCCCUCAUGAUUCAAUUAUCUCCACCUGGGCCCCCCUUGACACGUGGGGAUUAUUACAAUUCAAGAUGAGAUUUUAGGUGGGGACAUAGCCAAGCCAUAUCAGUUCUCCUGCAACCACCACAGCCUGAGGAGGAGCACUGAAGAGGCCAAGGAUUCCACUGCGCAGUGAGACAGGGUGCAGCAGGCUUUCAGUACGAUUCAGGCUCUGGUGGCUGUGAGGUGUGGGUUCUUAUGACUCUCAACUCCUGGUAUCUUUUGCUUCUGGAUGGUGCGGUAAGAGGGACUGGGGGUUGUCGUCCGUCUGUCUGGACUUCCCAAAGGAGAAGUCAUGGUGAGGCCCAGGGAAAGGACCAUCUAGGCUAUCACAGGGCUGGGUAAAAGAAGUCCUCAGUGCUCACUUUUUAAAAAAGUUAUUUUAAUUUAUUACUAUUAUCAUUUUAUUAUUAUGUUUGAACACUCUUGGUGACCAUUAUUAUUACUUUACUGUGGUAAAAUAUAACAUAAAUUUUAUCAUCUUGGUGAUUUUUUUUUUUUGAGACAGAUCUCACUCUGCCACCCAGACUGGAGUGCAGUGGUGUGAUCUUGGCUCACUGCAGCCUCAACCUCUGGGCUCAAGUGAUCCUCCCACCUCAGCCUCCCAAGUAGCUGGGACUACAGGUGUGCACCACCGUGCUUGGCUAAUUUUUGUAUUUUUUGUAGCGAUAGGGUCUCACUAUGUUGCCUAGGCUGGCCUCAAACUCCUGGACUCAAGAGAUCCUUUUGUCUGGGCCUCCCAAAGUGUUAGGAUUAUAGGCGUGAGCCACCACCACGCACGCCUGGCCGUCGUAGCCAUUUUUAAGUGUGCAGUUCAGUGGUUUUGAAUACAUUCAUAAUGUUGUGCAACCAUCACCACCAUCCAUCUCCAGAACCCUCUUCAUCUUGUAAAACUGAAACUCUGUGCCCAUUGAACAAUAACUCCUGAUUCCCUCUUGCCCCAGCCCCUGGCAACCAUUAUUCUACUUUCUGGCUCUAUGAUUUUGACUAUUCUAGAUACCUCAUAUAAGUGGAAUCAUACAGCAUUUCUCUUUUUGUGACUGGCUUAUUUCAUUUAGCGUAAUGUCUCAGCACCAUCCAUGUUGUAGCAUGUGUUGGAAUUUUUUCCAUAUUAAGGCUUAGUAAGAUUCCAUUGUACAUUUAUACCCACUUUGUUUACCAAUCAUCUGUUGAUGGACACUUCAGUUGCUUCCACAUUGUGAAUAAUGCUGCUACAAACAUGUGUGUACAAAUAUUUCUUUGAGACCCUGCUUUAAAUUCUUCUGGGUAUAUACCAAGAAGUGGGAUUGCUGGAUCAUAUGGAAAUUCUAUUUUUAAUUUUUUGAGGAACCACCAUACUGUUUUCCAUAGCAGCUGUACCAUUUUACAGUCCCACCAACAGUGCACAAGGAUUCUAAUUUCUUCACAUCCUCGCCAACAUUUGUUUUUUCCUAUUUAUUUAUUUAUUUGAGAUUUGAGGGUCUUGGUAUGUUACCCACGCUGGCCUCCAAUUCCUUGGCUCAAGAGAUCCUCAUGCCUCAGCCUCUAAAGUAGCUGGGAUUACAGGCACAAACCAUAGCACCUGACAUAUUUUCCAUUUUUUUGGUUAGUAGCCUUCCUAAUGGGUGUGAGGUGAUAUCUCAUAGUAUUUUGGUUUGCAUUUCCCUAAGAAUUAAUGAUGUUGGUCAUUUUUUCAUGUGCUUAUUGGUCACCUAUAUAUCUUCUUUGGAGAAACAUCUGUUCAGUUCGUUUUUGAAUUGGGUUGUUUUCCUCAGUCCUCAGUCUUGUCACAUGUAUGGAUGUGAUAUCAGAUCAGCAGCAUGUAAGUUAGUCUUCUUGGAGCUGAAGCAGCAGCAGGAAGUGGUGAGGACUCUGGCUCCUGGGUUCCAGCUCUCUUGCUCUCCCUUGCUCAUCAGGCUAAUAUCAGCAUGAGUGACAGGAAAGCCUGGAAGACUAACUUCACCUUCUUUAACAAUCCUUUUACUCAGGGUCAGCCCAGAGUAGCAGGUUCUGGGUGCCACCUAAGACAUCUGAUUUAAGGUGAAGAGUGAUGUAUUUAGAAUUGGCCAGUGCUUUGACAGCUGCAAACAUAACCUUUAACACGCAUAUUAAAAUGAAUACUGAGCUUAGUUCAGUCUUUCAUUUCCUUUUAAUACUUGAAAAGCUACAGUUUUGUUUUAAAGUUCUCUUAAAAGGCUCUAGCAGGUGAAUUUAUUCUUCUGCUUGAUUGCAUUUGGACCCUUAAAUAACAGCCACCUUGAAACUGAAACCGGGAAAACCCCAGGUCUCUGGCCAGAAGAAG